UAAAAAAAUAUUUAAUUUAAGUUUUUGGUGGGGUUAUGAUUUUCUUUCUUUCUUUCUUUUCUGGUAAUUUUCUGGUAAUUUUUGCAACUGGUAAGUGUUAUGAUUUGCAAUAGGUAGACUGGGGAUUGGGUUUUAACUUGAGUUUGGGGAUGGUACUGAAAUAUCAAAUGCUGUCUGUUAUUCAUUUGUGGGAUUGGAGCUUAAAGAAAGAUAAGUGAUUUUUGAUGACCUGAAUAUGUCUGGGCUUUGGGAUAAUGAAGCCAAAUAGUAGGAAGUGUGACUUAUGGAUUUCUGUAUACAAUGGCUUGAGCUGGGGUUAAGUUCUAUACUCAUAUUUGUCUGAGUGAGGCAGUCAUCUCUAGUUAUCUGGGAAAUUAUAGAAGUAGGACUUGAAUUCUAAGUUAAGUUUUGGACUUUCGGUAUCUAAGAUACAACAUGGUGCUCAGACUUGUUAGUUUUUGUGUUGAGUAAUGUUAUAUACUACAUUUUUAUGCUACAACUAUCCCACAAUGAUGACGUAGUAGUCUUACUUAUCAUAAUUUUUUUUUUUUAACAAAGGACUAAUCUAAGGGUUAGUUGAGACUUACCAUUGUGAGAUAAAGUUUCUAACAUUACUCUUGUGUUUGGUGACCACAUAGCUUGGAGUUUAAGAUAAUUGAUCAAGUGCCCUCCUAUAUGGACAUAAGCCUUUUUUUUUGUUUUUUUUUGUCCAAAUUUGAGAUACCCAAAUGUCAAAUAUGAUGGCAUGAUUUGAUGAAGCCUGAAUUUGCUGUGGCAGUUUUUAUUAGAUGCAAUUGUUCAAGUGAUGUAUCUCGACAUGUUAUGUGGUUGAUGCUAUAUGAUUCUUAGAUAAACAGGGCACUUAGUGAUGUUGAUGGAUGGAGUGCAUGUUAUUGUACUUGUCUGUUGGUUCAUUAGCUUUGGGAAAAUGAUUAAAGAAAGAGUUCAUUGUUUGACCAAUUCUUUUCCAAUGUCUAAAAGAAAGAGUCUUAUUUUUUUUGCACUAAGAUCAAUUAAUUUUUUGCAUUGAAUAAUACUCAUAUGAGAUUCAGAGAGUGCAAGCUGUUCAUACCGCCUUUAUAUGUGCAGGACUGCCCCCUCAGUUGUUGCCAAGAAAGAAAGUGUAAAAGCAUCUGUGGAAACUUUCAAGAUUCCGGUGGCCCGAACUACUGGAGUCAAUUCAACUAAUCAACAGGCCAAAAAUAUUGCAGUAACACAAGCACAACAAGAGGGCUGCACUGGAAAAUUUAAAAUCUUCGAUUCGCCAUAUGGGAAUUUUCUUGUGCCUGUAAUUCCAACUCCUGCUGAACUAGCUGGAUAAUUUCAUGUUUCGUACUGAUAACAAAAUUUUGUUGGAGAUGCUGUAUUUGUGGAGCUCCUAUACACAUAAGUACAAAGCUGAGCCUUUCCAAAAUUUAUGCAUAUGCACAGUGUUUUCCAUGAA
Molecule: long non-coding RNA, 1444 nt
Organism: Corylus avellana
Lineage: Eukaryota; Viridiplantae; Streptophyta; Magnoliopsida; Fagales; Betulaceae
Source: RefSeq, a predicted model, not a curated record